RNAcentral lists this ribosomal RNA (304 nucleotides) under uncultured bacterium. RNAcentral's name for it is "bacterial SSU rRNA". It matches the Rfam family "Bacterial small subunit ribosomal RNA", at positions 524 to 830 of the family's 1533-position model. The record is from RNAcentral.
UACGGAGGAUCCAAGCGUUAUCCGGAUUUAUUGGGUUUAAAGGGUGCGUAGGCGGCAGAUUAAGUUAGAGGUGAAAUUCCGAGGCUCAACCUUGGCACUGCCUCUGAUACUGGUUUGCUAGCGAGUAGAUGCUGUAGGCGGAAUGUGUGGUGUAGCGGUGAAAUGCAUAGAGAUCACACAGAACACCGAUUGCGAAGGCAGCUUACAAAUCUAUAUCGGACGCUGAGGCACGAAAGCGUGGGGAGCAAACAGGAUUAGAUACCCUAGUAGUCCAUUGGCUCGUACGGUGCCAGCAGCCGCGGUA